Onychostoma macrolepis is the source of this 1825-nucleotide long non-coding RNA. RefSeq lists it as uncharacterized. The transcript has 8 exons. The record is from RefSeq and is a predicted model, not a curated record. Lineage: Eukaryota; Metazoa; Chordata; Actinopteri; Cypriniformes; Cyprinidae.
CUGUCAGUGAAAAUGUUCUUUGAUAAAGUAAAUGUUCUUUGCUCUCUUUCUUUAGGCUACAAUGAAAAUGUUAUGAUUAACUUAGUAGCCUAACUCGCAAUGUUUUUAUUCACAUUAACUUUCAAUGUUAAAUUCACAUUAAAUAUAAAGUCAGUCGUAUUAAAAAUAUGUUAUGGCAUGACACCCAUAAACAGACAGGUUUUUAUGCAUAGAUUAUAUUAUUAGGUUACUUUGACCAUCGCCCACUACACAAUCAGCAGUGUAAUAUUUGCAGUGUUAAAAGUUAUUAAUUCCCAAAGAGUUGAAUUAACAAUCUACAGUGUUAAACAGUACUGGUGUUCAGUGUUGUCACACGGUGUAAUAUUUAUGUAAUUUCACUUUUACACUUAAAGUGUAAAAACAAAACCCCGAACUGAUCUGAUCCGCCCCUCAAGCACCGCGGCCUCAAAGCGACGACGCCAUUUUAUCUUCAGGCGACCGACACGGUUUACAGUGUUAAGUUCGUGAGGUGCAGAGAUGCAAGGUUAGCCUGUGUGAAAGUUUCUAAUGCGGGCUCGAUUUUCUGAAAUAAGGAGUCACACAUUUGGGCGGUUUUCUACUCAGAGGAGAGAAUUCAUCAAAAGAUGUCUUAAUACAGAUUGUGAAGAAGCCAUCCAUUGUGCAGUACUGGUGUGGGAACAGAACCAUAAGGGGAAGAUUUUCAAGGUUGAAAGUAAUACAAAACAACACCACUGUUUCGUGAGAAAGCACAGAGAGAGUCUAUCCCAUAGGCUUUUGAAUACUGGUGUUUUUCCAUUUUAGUGUAAACUAAUUAAAUGUUGCAGAUUUGAUGUAACCAUUUUGAUGUAGUCAUUCUUGAACAAUGGUGGAUCUGUCCAAAUCCCACCAAUAAAAAUAGGCCAAGUGGGCUGGUAAUAAAUUGUAGCAAAACCAGACAAAUUUGGUUAGUAAAAAGGUAUAAAAAAGAUGUAUGGACAGAUAGAAUUAGAGGCAGUGGAUGAGGCGGCUGUCUUCUCGGCUUUGUUACUUUGUUUAAUAAAGUCUUAUUUUGGCAGCUGAAACUCUGCUUUUUGAGCUUCUCUGACUCCAUUGAAGAAAUCUACUCUCGUGCCACGACACCUUAAGUGCCCAUGGGCAGAGCAUGCUUGAAACCAGUCUUUAUCAAUUCAUAUGGCAUGCUAUUUUGGAAUUGGCCCAGACUUCUGCAGUGUCAAGUGAAGGAAGCUCCUCUCAUAAGAUUGCAAACCUGGAGUCUGAUGACACCGAGCGAGAGUGAUGGAAGCCCUUCAAGAAAGGAGCAGAAUGCUGAAGAUGAUUGGAAACCAAGUUCCUGGCUUUUCUCAAGACCUUCAAGGACCCGAUUGACCUUGGAAUCGGCUGUAAAGGAGGACGAAACCGAUGUUUAAGAAUGGGACAGCGAUAUUGCAUCAAUUUGUCUCCUACUUCAUUUGGUUCCACCAUCGCCACAAGGCUGCAAGGGACCUGGAGAAAUGUCCUCCUAUCAAGCUGAAAAACAUCUUCAAAAAGGCACUAACCAGAAGAACACCUUGAUUGCAUAGAAGAGACCACACAGCCAUACCUGCUCGCUGAUGGGACAACGAACAUCAUUCAUGGAUGCUACACAACUGUCGACAAGUAUCUUGCUGCAGUCUUGUUCAAAUCUACCUGUCAUACUUGUAAAUUUGAUGAUUUUAUAUGUUUUAUUAACUAUUUUAUUUCCGUGCAACACUUAAUGAAUGUGACUGACUAAUUAACCUCUACACAUCUGGUAUAUGCUUUAAAGUUGCCACUUUGCCCAUUUGUUAAAUAAACGUUGGAAUUUGUA